Molecule: ribosomal RNA, 253 nt
Filed under: uncultured bacterium
Lineage: Bacteria
Description: partial 16S ribosomal RNA
Rfam family: Bacterial small subunit ribosomal RNA
Source: RNAcentral
UACGGAGGAUGCGAGCGUUGUUCGGAAUCACUGGGCUUAAAGCGCGUGUAGGCGGCUAGUUAAGUGUCAAGUGAAAUCCCUCGGCUCAACCGAGGAACGGCUCGGCAAACUGGCUUGCUUGAGGUACGUAGAGGUGACUGGAACGACGGGUGGAGCGGUGAAAUGCGUAGAUAUCCGUUGGAACGCCGGAGGCGAAAGCGGGUCACUGGGCGUAUCCUGACGCUGAGACGCGAAAGCGUGGGUAGCAAACAGG